UGCAUCAGCCGGGAAUCGAACCCGGGCCGCCCGGGUGGCAGGCGAGCAUUCUACCACUGAACCACCGAUGG
This 71-nucleotide transfer RNA is filed under the name Cordylochernes scorpioides. RNAcentral describes it as "tRNA-Gly". Lineage: Eukaryota; Metazoa; Arthropoda; Arachnida; Pseudoscorpiones; Chernetidae. The record is from RNAcentral.